This 253-nucleotide ribosomal RNA is filed under the name uncultured bacterium. RNAcentral describes it as "partial 16S ribosomal RNA". It matches the Rfam family "Bacterial small subunit ribosomal RNA", at positions 526 to 779 of the family's 1533-position model. The record is from RNAcentral.
CGUAGGGUGCGAGCGUUAAUCGGAAUUACUGGGCGUAAAGCGUGCGCAGGCGGUUUUGUAAGUCAGAUGUGAAAUCCCCGAGCUCAACUUGGGAACUGCGUUUGAAACUACAAGACUAGAAUAUGUCAGAGGGGGGUAGAAUUCCACGUGUAGCAGUGAAAUGCGUAGAGAUGUGGAGGAAUACCAAUGGCGAAGGCAGCCCCCUGGGAUAAUAUUGACGCUCAUGCACGAAAGCGUGGGAGCAAACAGGAUU